AUGCGAGCAAUACACUUGCAACCCGAGGAGGAGAUACACCAAACAUACAUUGAUACACAGAAAUCAAAAGAGUGCACUCGGGAGAACAACAACACCAAGACAAGGCUGGCAAAUCGACAAGCUAAUAGACGCUCUUCCUGCUCCCUUGGUGUGGCAGGAGCAGGACAUGAAGCUCUUUCUUACUACUCAUCUUCAUCCUCUUCCUCGUCAUCUUCAUCCUCGUCGUCGUCUUCAUCCUCCUCCUCGUCGUCUUCAUCGUCCUCCUUGUCACCUUCACCCCCCUCCUCCUCCUCCUCUUCCUCAUCCUCCUUGUCAUCUUCAUCCUCCUCCUCGUCGUCUUCAUCGUCCUCCUUGUCACCUUCACCCCCUUCCUCCUCCUCCUCUUCUUCAUCCUCCUCGUCAUCUUCAUCCUCCUCCACGUCGUCUUCAUUCUCCUCCUCGUCGCCGUACAACUCAUUCUCAACACUGGGGAUCCACUUUUCUUUUGCUUCCAUCCUAGUGUCCUCAAACAUAGCACGGUGGUGCUCAAAUCUUCUAAUGUUUCCAUCAACAUCCUUGUCGAGCUCGUGGAACGCGUUGAUGUCCAUCGUUUGGACAGAACUCAAGAGGCUCUGCAUAUUGGUGGUGUGGUGGUAA
This 636-nucleotide ribosomal RNA is filed under the name Triticum aestivum (bread wheat). RNAcentral describes it as "partial small subunit ribosomal RNA". The record is from RNAcentral. Lineage: Eukaryota; Viridiplantae; Streptophyta; Magnoliopsida; Poales; Poaceae.